RNAcentral lists this transfer RNA (74 nucleotides) under bacterium. RNAcentral describes it as "tRNA-Phe". It matches the Rfam family "tRNA". From Rfam's summary of the family: Transfer RNA (tRNA) molecules are approximately 80 nucleotides in length. The record is from RNAcentral.
UGGCCAGAUAGCUCAGUCGGUAGAGCACUUGUCUGAAAAACAAGGGGUCGCAAGUUCGAUUCUGCCUCUCCGGC